AAGUCGUAACAAGGUUUCCGUAGGUGAACCUGCGGAAGGAUCAUUACAGAAUUGAAAUCGACCGACCCUGUUGAAGCGUGGGCUGGUCUCGAGCGAGCGAGCGAGCGAGUGAGUGAGCGAGCCUGUUUGCUAGCUUGCUAGCUUGUUUGCUCGAGACAAGCAAAAACAAUUGAUGAAUGUACCAGUGAAUAUGAAAAAAAGAAAAACAACUUUUAACAAUGGAUCUCUUGGCUCUU
RNAcentral lists this unclassified non-coding RNA (236 nucleotides) under fungal sp. RNAcentral's name for it is "partial internal transcribed spacer region". The stretch from base 1 to 46 matches the Rfam family "Eukaryotic small subunit ribosomal RNA", at positions 1786 to 1831 of the family's 1831-position model. The record is from RNAcentral. Lineage: Eukaryota; Fungi.